RNAcentral lists this ribosomal RNA (301 nucleotides) under uncultured bacterium. RNAcentral describes it as "bacterial SSU rRNA". It matches the Rfam family "Bacterial small subunit ribosomal RNA", at positions 775 to 1067 of the family's 1533-position model. The record is from RNAcentral.
GGAUUAGAUACCCUGGUAGUCCCAGCAGUAAACGGUGUGAGCUUGAUGUGGGGGGAUUCGACCCCUUCCGUGUCGAAGCUAACGCGAUAAGCUCACCGCCUGGGAAGUACGGCCGCAAGGCUAAAACUCAAAGAAAUUGACGGGGACCCGCACAAGCGGUGGAGUAUGUGGCUUAAUUCGAUGCAACGCGAAGAACCUUACCUGGCCUUGACAUGUAUCUCUAAGCCGGUGAAAGCCGGUGAGUUUGCCGAAAGGUAAACAAUUUACACAGGUGCUGCAUGGCUGUCGUCAGCUCGUGUCG